RNAcentral lists this ribosomal RNA (109 nucleotides) under Acanthosepion pharaonis. Lineage: Eukaryota; Metazoa; Mollusca; Cephalopoda; Sepiida; Sepiidae. The record is from RNAcentral.
GGACACAUCACGUUGAAACACCGGUUCUUGUACGAUCACCGAAGUUAAGCAACGUCGAGCCUGGUCAGUACCUAGAUGGGUGACCGCUUGGUAAUACCAGGUGUUGUAC